GAACAUAAUUUACAUUAAAGUUACAGUUGUUUUCUGUUUUAACACAAGUUAUCAUACAUAGAGGUGUAACAUAGUGUAAUGAUUAGACCUGAUACAUCAGAAAACUAAUCAAAAAUAAGAUGUAGGAAACUAAUCCAAAAUAAGAUGAAGAUGUAGGAAACUAAUCCAAAAUAAGAUGACAAGAUCCAAGCCUACAUUAGGUGAUGUGCGUAGGGACAGACACCACAGCGGGAGGUAUAUACAUGAUAUUAUAUUGGGGCUAAUGCAAUCCACAUAAUUAUAUACAUAAACCUUAGAAAACUACAAGCGCAACUUCACUUUAUCUACAAAAGUCAAGCGAACAGCCUAGUCCAUUCACAAAAGGCAAGCACGAUCAAUUGUCAUGUGUUCAAACUUUAGUUUUCUCGAGGCUGCAAACAACAAAUACAAGAAUGUGACUCCAUAAAUAUUCCAUAUGUCAUGUUCCAUCCACCAAAAAGGAAUUGGCAUAUGAGUUCAUUGUAUUUCACAACCAUUUAACUGUAAAGUGAUUGAUUGUCAUCAAGGCCAAAUUGUAUACGGGGAUGUAUACGACACAUGCAAAGUUAACCAAAAUAAAUCUUUCACUCGCAGCCAUUGUUGAGCGGUGUUUUUUCUUAACAUACAAAUAUUUGAUAUGGUACAGAUUAAACUGUGGUCAGAGGACAUUCUUUUCGCAUAGUUUUACUUUUACUUAUGCUGCAUCGGUAGGUACUUAAGCAAUGAUGAGAAAAAUAAUUCUGAAAGUAGGUUUUUACUAUGUAGGCCAUCUCAUUUACAUAACAUAGUUCAAGUGAAUCUAUCACCAUUUCCUAGCCCUGUUUAGAUAUCUACAUAUUCUUUGCAGUUGAAACAAGCACAUAUGGAUAUGGAGGCAUUAUGCGAAAAUAAAGCCAAGCCAGUGGAACCCAACAUAGUCGGCAAAUGAGAUAUUUCCUAUGUCAUUUUAGAGAAAAAGAAAAAAGAGACAGCAACACCUUAACUUAGGGGCAGAUCCACACUGCACUCAGUGGUGUCCUUUCAGGCUGUGACAUCAGUGAUUUGAGGAAUUACCUCUGUAACCCUACUGCUAUGCAAAUAAUAAUCCUAUAGGCUAAUGUUUUAGCAAGAUAAUUUACUGGUGGCACAAGUGAAUUAAUUUCUUAGACCAGCCUCUGCCUUAACUCAUUAUACUAUGGAAUAGUCAUCGUCCUGUAUUUCAAUGGUAGUGUUGGGCUAUGCUCCAUCCAUUUCCAUGUAGGUUACAAUAUAAUAGUGUAGACGAUUAUAACUGUGAGAUCAUACACAAUCUCACAAUCCGAUCGAAUUAACGAGCUUCACAAAAUUAAACUGGUGGCAUGAAGGCAAAGAAAACAAUGGCAUGAAGGCAAAGAAACAUUGGACGAUAUAUUGUCCUAUCUAAGUGAAAACAGGGGCUAACUAUUAGGAGCCAAAGGACUACACAGAGAAGUUGUAGGGCGUUGCCUGUUGAAAGAAUAAAAACAUAUUAAAUUACAUUACAAUUUGUUUAGAAAAUAAUUUUGUCCCAUGGGAGGAUUCUACCAGUCCCAGUGUGAUGCUGCUACUGAUCCACUUUCUACUGUCCAUAAGGAUAGCCUUGGUAUGCUUGCAAGCACAGAAGUUGAAGAGAAGGAGCAGAUAAAGCGCUAGUAUUCAUGCAAAGCUAAGAAAAGAUGGCUCAGGAAUAAGUUUGUUGUUGUUGUUGUGUGUAGCAGAUUCGUUCUUGAACAAAUAAUAAGGUAUAAAGAAAUAGGGCAGCAUCACAUGAACACAAAUUACAUUGCAUGAUGUUAAUAGAGAAUCAAGCAUACCGGGUGUAGUAAGCAACAACUCUGCAAGUAAGGUAUUGUUAGAUAAUUGGUUAGGUCGUGUGCCUAGUUGGUUCCAGGUAACCUCGCGAUCGUAUAUAGCCUUAACAACAAUCCCCUUGCCUUGUCCGUAAUAGCGAGCAAUAACAUCAUUCUCCAUCACACGAGGCAACUGAAAGAUACAAGCACCAGUUUUGGUUAAGUGGCACGAAAUUACUUUGCUCCAAGUUGGGAUAGCUCUAUCGAACGAAAUAAAGGGAAAUACCAACAAGCUAAUAAUAAGUGGGAACCGCACCUAAGGUAUGAUAAGAAUAAACAAACCACCAAGUGCGCACAACUCAAGCUCCUAGACACUGGCGGAGCUAUAUGUCGAAAAACGUAGACCAUGCCCCCGUGAUCUGAAUUGUUGUAAUUUGCUAGGCACUUCCUUCACAGUAUUGCAACUAUAAGAACAAAAAGAUCACAUUUAAUGACAUGUCCAAAAAUAAUAAAGGUUUCAAUUUAAACAAAUGUAUAGGUCAUGCUUAAAAUAACAAAAAACCUAGCUGCAAUGAAACUAUUUGGAAAUUGUUUGUCAAACUAAAAGGGGGCAGUAAGGUAAUGUUGGCUUUGUGGUGUCGGUCUGUCCGUUGGAUAUUGUCUUUUUGGUGUCUAUUAUUUUAUCUCCAAUGUUUCUUGUGCCCUUUCUCUGUAUUACACUAAAAAUCGCUAGAGUCCAGCUGAGGCGCGCAAAUGUGUGCCUUACUUUGAAUAUGACCAAAAGACUACCAGAUUACGUGCUUGUAAAAUAUUCAAGAUGGUCAUUCACUCAUUACACCAGGCCAACGGAGGUUCAAUUCGUUGAUGUAUAUAGGACAGUUAAAACUAAAAAAUGUAAAGUUUUACAACAAGGUCUAGGUGUCUACUGUCUACGUAACAGUUUAUAAAAAAACCAGGUCAAUUGCACAAAUCCUAAUAAGAAAAAGUUUCAGGCACAAAUUCACCAGAAAAUACAGGAUGAGUAAGAAUGUGUCUUACUCUGGAAAGUUGGAUGCUUUCCGAUAGAAGACAGUUGAAAAAUGAACCUAAACAUUGGGGAAAAUAAUCGGAUACCUAAACUCUAAAGCAUGACAGGACAAAGACAGGUUAAACCGGUGAUACCGACCCAUUCUUGUUAGCCGAUUCACCCACCCAAGGAUUGAUCUCCUGGCCAAGUUCUUACAGACAUCAU
This 3036-nucleotide long non-coding RNA is filed under the name Zea mays. RNAcentral's name for it is "long non-coding RNA (ZMAY_LNC002630)". Lineage: Eukaryota; Viridiplantae; Streptophyta; Magnoliopsida; Poales; Poaceae. The record is from RNAcentral.